Molecule: long non-coding RNA, 7790 nt
Filed under: Triticum aestivum (bread wheat)
Lineage: Eukaryota; Viridiplantae; Streptophyta; Magnoliopsida; Poales; Poaceae
Description: long non-coding RNA (TAES_LNC015962)
Source: RNAcentral
UUAAAGUGCGAUAUUAUUAUUCUACACAAAAUUCUAAGCAUUUUACAUGUUUAAAUCAUUUUAAUCCGAUGCACGGUUCAUGAGUUAUUAAAUGCAUGAAGAUGAGGGUCUUUUCUGUAAAACUGCAAAACCUGGGAUAAUUGCUAAAAUCACAGAACUGAAAAAAAAACUACAUGGGCCGAAACUGAAACUGGAGCAGGCCCAACAGUAAAAAAAACAAGAGGCGCUGGGGGUGUGGCCUCACCCAUGGGCUCGGCCCAGUCGGGGGAGAGGUGAGGCCGACACGGAGCGACGCGCUGGGCCUUGGCGCGGGACAGCGGGAGCUGGGCCCGGCACGGUCGACACGGGAGGUCAACGCACAUCUGGGACGAGCGGGCGAGGCAGAGGUAGCGGGCGUUCGUCCUCGUCUCCAUGAAGCAGUACGACGCCGGCGGACUUGUCGCGGGCUCCUGGCGACAGGGUCAGCGGGAAGCGGCCGAAACGGCCAGAUCCGGUGCGCCUCAGCAGGGAACCGGCGGAUCUAGACGGCGGCGCGCACGGGACGGCAGCGGCGGAGCUUGGCGAAGCAGGGGAAGCAACAGAGGGACCUGACGGGGCGAGGGACCACGGGAACCGGCCGGAUCCGAGGCCAGGGCGGCGGGAUCCUGGGCGACGGCAAGAGGUGGCUCCCGUGCGGCGCAACAACGGGGCUCCGGCGAGCUGGGGCUGCGAUGGCGCCAUGGCUGACGAGGGAAGUUCCUGCAAGAGAGAGAGGUAUGUGUGAGAGAGAGAGAGAGCGGGAGAAAGAAGGACGAGGAGGAGGGACCGAGGGAGAGGGCGCGGGGUCGGCCUGGGGCUACUGCUGUGGCCGGCUCAAGGAGAGCUGCUGGUCUCGAGCGCGUGAGGAGGGAGAAGCUCAGGGAGGCUCGGGCAAAGGAGCAGAUGCUCCUGGACGAGGGGAGGCGCAGAGGAUCGGGCGCCAUGGGCUGCGCUGGUUGGUAGAUCGAGGGGAUCCAGAGGAGAGCGCCGGUUGGGUGGGGAAGGAUCCCGAGGGGAACUGGUUGGCGGCGGCUCAAUGGGACAAACUUCCUAGAAGCUAGGGUUUGGCCUGAUUUAGACUAGGGGGUCUUUAUAUAAGGAAAAUGGGGAGUUUGGGGUAGAUUCAGACCCUCCGAUCGAAAUCGGGCGGUUGGGAAAAAUAGACUAGGUAGUCCAAAAACAAAAACCGAGAUGUUUUUGGGAUGUUUGGGGAUGAUCUGGAUCCAACGGUGACGACAGAGCGGGUCGGGUUCGGGACAACUUUCGGGCGCGCACACGAGGGGGUCUGUGGUUGUGCAGAGAGGUUAGGUGGUUUGACAAGAGGGAAACGCAAACAUGGUUGGUCUCGGAACGGUCAACGAAAGCAAGGGGGGACACGGCAACUACGAGCAGAAACGGGUUUUAUGAAAACAUAUGGAUGCGAUGCACAUGAUGCUAUGAUGAAAUGCAUGACAUGAAACAAAAAGCAAAACGAAAGACAAAAACCCAACCACGGAGGAAAUGACAUAUCGCAUCUCCGGAAAAGGCAAGAGUUGGAGUUACGAAUAUGGAAAGUUGUAUCUGGGGCGUUACAACACUCCACCACUACGAGAGGAUCUCGUCCCGAGAUCUAGGAUGGCACCGGAGGGAAAACAGAAAGGGAAGAGAAGAGGUAAGACUAAGUUGCUUCUUCGACAAAUGAGUGAAACCAUGAACCUUGAGAGGUUGAGCAAUAUAAAAGAAAGAGUACAACAGAGAUGAACGAGAUUGCAAACAAUCUGUUAGAAAAGAGGAACAAGGAACAUUACGAGAACUUAAAGGUUGCAAAGACAUGAAUCAAGAGUUUAAUGGACAAGAUAGAAUUCGAAACCACUCCGGUUAAAACAAGAUGAGAGAGGAAGAAUUUGAGCAACACUCCGGUUGAACAUGGAAGGAAUAGAACAUGAACUUGGCAAAAUGAAAGCACUUGGAUGAGACUCCGGUUAAAAGAGGAAUGAUAGACACAACACUCCGGUUAAGUGGAUAAGCAUGGAAAAGAACAUGAUCUUGACAAAACAAGAUGAUGAGUGAAAAGAGCAACAUCACAAUGCCUCCGGAAGAAAGAAUAGAAGAUAGAUCAUUGGAAUAACAGAAUGGAGAAGAAAAUGCCAACUUCUUCCACAAAUGAGCUUGAAAAGCAUCCUUGCAAAGAAGAAUUGAACGGAGUUGUUGGAAAACCAACAACGAAAAGAAUAAGCUUGUAGUGGGCUUAUGGAAAACAUCUCAAAAUUAUGAGGUGACAACCUGCCACAAAAGAAAAACAAUUGUUUGCUUGAGAUCAACGAAGAGAUGAAAAACCUCUUUCACCGAGAAGGAUAUGGAGAAAGCUUGGAUCAUUGAUAAGCACCACAAAUAGCAACAUUCCUUAGGGAAGGCUUUAAGUGAAAUCUGACACAAGAUAACUCCAAUGAAGAGAUUGAUGGACUGAGAAGAACUCAUGCUCGAAGGAGUUGAUGGGUUUAACUACCUCAUUCUUGACAACAUAUGAAUCAUGAAACAUGAAUGAAAUUGUCAAGAGUGACAUAACACCACCUCAAAAGAUAAGGUAGAAAUAAUUGCACUUUGGAAUGCAAGAUGAAGAAUACUUGAGCUCCUCAAAACAAAACAUGUGUUGAGCACCAUGUUUAUUUUAGAGUAUAGCUUGACGAAUCAUAACUUCAAGAGAAAUCUUGAAGAACAAUUGAAGAGUGAAAGGAAUCCUUGACGAACCACCAUGUAGAGCCUCCAUGAAGAAAUCCGGUAAUAAAAGGGUGAUAGACAGGAAGAGAAGUUGAAAACACAAGGUGAAGCCUUGCAAUAAUUUAGGUGGAGCUUCGCGACGAGAUAAUGCGGAAAACUUGGAACUCCGGAAAAGAAAAGAUGAAACAUCUCGAACCGGGAAACGUGACAUGAUGAACAACUCCGGAAAGAAGAAACUAGAUUACUUGGGUGAAACAAUAAUAAGAAUUACGUUAUGCCUAUCCUUCACCAAUUUAAAUUGAUGACAAGCAACGGAUUUGGCAUACUACUUAUUCUCGUAGAAAGGAUUAAGAGGGAUAUAGCGUAAACUUGAGAAGGUAUUGAUGGAACCACCGGUGGGAUUGAAACAACGAAUAAAUUAAUAUGAGAACAAAGGAAGAGGAAUCUUGAAAAAACCACCGUAAGAAUUGGAAAUGAAAGUAGCAAAGGCACAAUUCACCGGGAAGAUUGAAAAACGAAUGAAGAUACUUGAGGGGAUUUAAAUACAUGAGAAAGAAGAGAACAUGAACUGAUUAGAGGGUAUUAGAACGAUGCACCGGUAAGAUUUGGAGAAUGAGAGUUGAAAGCUGAGAAUGAGUAAUAUUCAGAAAUGAUGGCAUUCAGAUUAUCAAGAAAGGAAGCAACUCCUGAAAUGCAUCGGAUGGUUGAAAAGAAUUCUCACAAUCGAAAACAAUUAUGAGAGGAUGACAUAAGCUAGAGCUAUGAAUCUUCAAGAUAACGGACCAAGAUUUAGGACAAAUCCUUCUUCGGUUUUCAAAAGUUGAGAACGAUGAUGAGAACCACCAUGAAUUGUUGAGAUACUCCGGGAGAAUUAAAAGAGGAAAGGUUGAGCCAAAGAUGAAAAUAAUUUGAAAACGACCUUGGAGAAGGCAUGUGACUGAUGAAAAUUCAUUCUUACGUCAAACUUCGAAAGACUUUGGGAAUGGCUCCGGGAAAAUUAGAAGAGUCGGGUAAGAUCCUGGGAAAAGACCUGUGGGUUAGGGCCCACUCAAAAGAAAACACCGUUGAAGGAUUGCUUGAAAUAGAGAUUGCACCGGUAGAAUUAAAUGGCUUGAGUGAGAUAACAACCUCGAAAUAAUUUGAACGGAUUUUGAAUGGAAACUAAUCUUCUGAGAUAUCUUGAGCACUCCGGAUAAGAAUAGAGAGAGGUGAACAAUUAAGAGGUGCACCGACAUGAGAAAGCAUUAGAAAUGAGGAAAGGAAUAUGAUCAACACCGAAAGCUUGAAUUAAAUCCACCGGAAAAGAAUACGAGAAUGAAGAAUGAUGAACUCAAAGCUCCGUUAGUAUCUUCCUGAGAAUCACCGGAUAAGAACAUUAACGAAAAAGAAUGGAGAGACUUCACAUCAAUAAAAGGAUACUUGAUUAAGAAAUAUGAGUCCUUGAAGAAAAAGGGUGGGAGGGCGGGAAAACAAAGGCAACUUGGGGACGGUUGAAACAAACACCGUUGAGAAAACUUAGAAUUGAUCUUGCAGAUGGGGAGAAUGAUGGGAUCAUCUCGAAGAGAAGCGCACCGGUUGGAAAAGAAUUAACAUGACAACCUCAAUGAUCAAAAGGAUUAGUACUCCCAUAGAAAUAUGAGAACACCGCUUGAAAGGUAUGGAAUCAACACUUGACUUUGAAGCAACUCGAAUACCACAAAUAAAACAAAACAAAGGAUUUGGCUUGCAGAAUAAGCCGGAAACAAACAUAUGAUAGAUCCCAUAUCGUAUCAUGUGUCUGUUGGAAAGAUAAAACUAGAGCUACUUGAAUUCCCACCUAUAAAACUCCCGAAACUUUCUGGUUAUGCAAUCUGGUGUUGGGGAUACAGGGGAAGCAAUAUAUCUCACCCAAACUAACAAUACCUACAUCCAGAUGUAUCCAUCCGUCAACACAUAACCAAGAAACCUUCGGAAAUCGUGUACCUCAACCUUCGAAAAGCAUCCGUUAUACGAGUUAUGGCAAUACUCCCAAACUCCCGCCCCAGUACUGGGUGGCGUCAAGGUUAUCUCACCAACAACUGCAUAAAAGAGAUUUUCGAUGUCGGCAAAACUCAGGUAUUCCAGAACCGCAACGAUAAAAUUGUGACGACAACACCUCGGAGCUCAACUCCCCGGGUCAAUGCCACAUAAUAGACAGGAGGCACCAAGAAUAAUGUUCUCGUCACAAAACCAUCGGAACGAUUCCAAGAUACCCGCGUGAUCCUAAAAAAAUUUGAGUGAAAUUUGAGGAGAGGAAAGACAAAACAUCUACGUCAAGAGUCCUCAGCAGAGCGAUGAAGGGGCUGAGGAGUAAAAAGAAUCCUACUCUCCGAUAUAUAUAAUCCUAAGACUCAAAAUAGUUUUCUUCUAGACUCAACAACGGCCAACAAUCAAGGGGGCUCCUAUGGUCGGACCUGGCUCUGAUACCAACUUGUCACGCCCAAUAUGCGACCCUAUCCAAAAGGAACUCGAAGGUCCCACCAAGGAUAGACCCGCAUAUUGAAAUGCUUUUGCAAGGUGGAUAUCAUUACAUCAACAUUACAUAAUAGAUGGGGAUACAUACAAGGGGCAUACAAUGCCACACGAAUACAACAUCACAAUACAUAAGAGCAACAUCCGACUACGGAUGAACACAAACAGAAACUCAAACGACAUCCACCCUGCUAGCCCAGGCUGCCGACCUGGAACCUAUCCCUGAUCGAAGAAUAAGUAGAAGAAGAACUCCAAAACAAGUAACAUCGCUCUCGCGUCAAGAUCAUCGCAUAACCUGUACCUACAAUCUUUUGUUGUAGUAAUCUGUGAGCCACGAGGACUCAGCAAUCCCAUUACCAUGGGUAUCAAGACUAGCAAAGCUUAAGGAAAAGGAAGGGGUAAAGUGGUGAGGCUGCAGCAGCGACUAAGCAUAUAUGGUGGCUAACAUACGCAAAUAAGAGCGAGAAGAGAGCAAGUGGAACGGUCGUGAAGCUAACAAUGAUCAAGAGGUGAUCCUGAACUCCUACUUACGUCAAACAUAACCCAAAAACUGUGUUCACUUCUCGGACUCCGCCGAAAAGAGACCAUCACGGCUACACACACGGUUGAUGCGUUUUAAUUCGGAUCUGGUGUCAAGUUAUCUACAAUUGUACAUUAACAAAUUCCCAUCUGCCUAUAAUCGCAGGCACAGCUUUCGAAAGAUUAUACCCUGCAGGGGUGUCCCAACUGAGCCCAUGACAAGCUCUCACGAUCAAUGAAGGAUAUACCUUCUCCCAGGAAGACCCGAUCAGACUCGGAAUCCCGGUUUACAAGACAUUUCGACAAUGGUAAAACAAGACCAGCAAAGCCGCCCGAUGUGCCGACAAAUCCUGAUAGGAGUCGCACGUACCUCGUUCUCAGGGCACACCGGAUAAGUCAAGCUACGAGUAAAACCAGCCCUCGAGUUGCCCCGUGGUGGCCCCGUAGGUUGCUCGGUUCGGACCAACACUUGAAGGAGCACUCGCCCGGGGGGGGCUAAAAUAAAGAUGACCCUCGGGCUCCGGAAACCCAAGGGAAAAAGGGCUAGGUGAGGCAAAUGGCGAAACCAAGGUUGGGCCUUGCUGGAGGAGUUUUAUUCAAAGCGAACUGUCAAGGGGGUCCCAUAAAUCACCCGACCGCGUAAGGAACGCAAAAUCCGGGAACAUAACACAGGUAUGACGAAAACUAGGGCGGCAAGAGUGGAACAAAACAUCAGGCAUAAGGCCGAGUCUUCCACCCUUUACCAAGUAUAUAGAUGCAUUAAUAAUAUAAGAGAUAUUGUGAUAUCCCAACCAAAAUCCUGUCCACCAUGGAGCAAUCUUCAACUUCACCUGCAACUAGCAACGCUAUAAGAGGGCUGAGCAAAGCGGUAACAUAGCCAAGCAAUGGUUUGCUAGGAAAGGUGUCAAAGGUUAGAGGUUCAUGGCAAUAUGGGAGGCUUGAUAAACAGGUGAUAGGUAGCGCAGCAAAGCGACAGAACAAAGCAACUAGCAUAACAAUGAUAGUAGUGAGAUCCAGGGUAGCGGUCAUCUUGCCUGAAAUCCCGCUAGGAAGAAUAACGAGUCCAUGAAGUAGACGAACCAAUGUAGUCAAACAAAUCCUCACAACUCCAGAACGAAACCGAAGCUAACGAGAGAAGCAAACCGGAAAGAAGCAAACAACAUGGUAAAUGCACAAUCAUAAACAUGGCAUGAUGCACAAUCAAGUAUGAUGCAUGUCCGGUUUAAUGAGGCAUGACAUGGCAAAGUGCAACAAACUAUACUACAAGUUAAGUGGAGCUCAAUAUGCAACGAGUUGCAUAUUGACGAAACACCACAUCCGAGUUAUUUAGUUCGCUCUCGUGGUACACAACAAUAUUAAAUGUUGUUAAACAUGGCAAGAGGUGAAAACAUAAGUAAACUAACUAUUUAGGCAAGUUUAAAUGAGGCCGGAACAACAACAACAAUUCCGGAAAAUCCUCAUGUCCAUAUUCUAGUUUUGGUAUUGUUCUGCCUAUUACAUAAUUUUAGAGUUGUUAAACAGGAAAAUAAAGUGGACCAUGUUAAACUAGGCAUUUUUCCACCCCAUUUACAUAUGAAGUUUAUUUAAAACCGAGCUACGGUUAUUUAGUUAUGAAAUAAAGCAUUUUAGCAUGGCAUUUAAGCAAAUUAAUGCAAACAACAAUUUAAACAUUUUAAACAUGGAUGAAAGUGCGAUAUUAUUAUUCUACACAAAAUUCUAAGCAUUUUACAUGUUUAAAUCAUUUUAAUCCGAUGCACGGUUCAUGAGUUAUUAAAUGCAUGAAGAUGAGGGUCUUUUCUAUAAAACUGCAAAACCUGGGAUAAUUGCUAAAAUCACAGAACUGGAAAAAAAACUACACGGGCCGAAACUGAAACUGGAGUAGGCCCAACAGUAAAAAAACAAGAGGCGCUGGGGGUGUGGCCUCGCCCAUGGGCUCGGCCCAGUCGGGGGAGAGGUGAGGCCGGCAGGGAGCGACGCGCUGGGCCUUGGCGCGGGACAGCGGGAGCUGGGCCCGGCACGGUCAACGCGGGAGGUCAAUGCACGUCUGGGACGAGCGGGCGAGGCAG